GAUGAAGAACGCAGCGAAAUGCGAUAAGUAAUGCGAAUUGCAGAAUUCAGUGAAUCAUCGAAUCUUUGAACGCACAUUGCGCCCGCUAGUAUUCUGGCGGGCAUGCCUGUCUGAGCGUCAUUUCAACCCUCGCCCCCGGCUUUUGCUGGGAGCGGUGUUGGGGAUCGGCCGCCCGUCACUGGGAGGCCGGCCCCGAAAUAGAGUGGCAACCACGCCGUGUGCUCCUCUGCGUAGUAGUAAAUCACCUCGCAGGCGGACAGCGGUGCGGCCUGCCGUAAAACCCCCAACUCUUUCUGGUUGACCUCAGAUCAGGUAGGAAUACCCGCUGAACUUAAGCAUAUCAAUAAGCGGAGGA
RNAcentral lists this unclassified non-coding RNA (355 nucleotides) under soil metagenome. RNAcentral's name for it is "partial contains 5.8S ribosomal RNA, internal transcribed spacer 2, and large subunit ribosomal RNA". The stretch from base 1 to 120 matches the Rfam family "5.8S ribosomal RNA", at positions 35 to 154 of the family's 154-position model. The record is from RNAcentral.